CCUAUCAAUGAAAAAGUGAGCCAGCUAGACAGAGUGAUGUGAAGUCACCAAAUACUAGUGGUGUCUUGGCAGGAAGGUCUGAAGUGCAACUGAAGGAUGUUUGACUCUUUUAGUUCUGGAACCCUGACAAAAGUGGUAACAUUCUCACUUCAGUUAUGCUACAUCUGUAUCACUGAAUGAGACAAAAAGGCACACUGAACAAUUGCUAUCACUGUUUCAGUUCUCAAAAAGGAAGAUUUGCCAGACAGUACAAUCUUCAUGGUCUUCCUCCCAUUUCUAUUUAAAUCACUGUACAUCCUUCUGGUGGAAGAAUUGCACAUCUACCAUUCAGUAAUCAAUACACUGAUGUAUAUCAAAUAGGAUUCAUAAAUCAUUGCAGAAAAAUAUUUUUUCCAUGCUGAGAAUGCCUAUCCUUAUGCAAUUAAAACUGGCAAGAAUAAGUAUGUUUAGAAAAUUUGCAAGAAAAGGCAAGAACAGCAUUGAAGCUACUGUAAUUACAGCUGCACGUGAGAAAAAGAGAAAAAAACCCUAUCUAACAACCAAGGAAACACAAACCUUUAUCUCUCAAGUUCGGUGAGCAGUGUCAGUUGUGGAAUGUGGAUUCUAUUGAGUUCCAUGAACAAUGAAUUUUUCCUGGUCAAAGUAUUGUCAUUUCUGUCAUCAAAAAGUAACUUGUGUGCUAUCUGUCGCAGACUUUCUUCCAAAGAAUGACAGGUAAUUUCUCUAGCAUCAUUUCAGUGACAGUUUCUGCUUUUAUCACACAACUCCUGUAGUGAUGAUUCACCUCUUUCAUAAAUUUGGCAUUCACCAAAUAGUAUUGCACAGUAUAAA
Pezoporus flaviventris is the source of this 831-nucleotide long non-coding RNA. RefSeq lists it as uncharacterized. The transcript is spliced from 3 exons. NCBI's taxonomy places the organism in Eukaryota, Metazoa, Chordata, Aves, Psittaciformes, Psittacidae. The record is from RefSeq and is a predicted model, not a curated record.